RNAcentral lists this long non-coding RNA (343 nucleotides) under Malus domestica (apple). Its description in RNAcentral is "long non-coding RNA (MDOM_LNC007640)". The record is from RNAcentral. Lineage: Eukaryota; Viridiplantae; Streptophyta; Magnoliopsida; Rosales; Rosaceae.
GAAAGUCUGUCCGAGCAAUGUUCGAAGAGUUCGUUCAGCUGCAAUGGCAGAAGUUGGAAACGAUGAAGUUUGAUCAAUCGUACUCCGUCCGAGCAAUUUUCAGAGGUUUAAUACUGUAAUUUGGUAUGCUACCAGGUUAUUGUUUUUUCCUAUUUACUCCUUUACUGUAUUUUAGCAGGAAAAAAAUGUUACAGUAAAGUUUGAAAUUGUUAUAUUCCUAAAAGCCGUUGAAGGACCAUCUAAGUGUAAAGUUUCGAAUUUUCUGCAGAACAAGUGGUUUGGAAAUUGCUUGGAUGGAUUUUUCUUAACACCAGAAAGAAACAACCUAGAUUUUACCACUUUG